UACAGAGGCCUCUAGCGUUAGGCGGAAUCAUUGGGCUUAAAGCGCGUGUAGGCGGUUCGUUAAGUGUCUUGUGAAAUCCCACGGCUCAACCGUGGAACUGCUGGGCAUACUGGCGAUCUUGGGCCACUCAGGGGCGACCGGAACAAGCGGUGGAGCGGUGAAAUGCGUAGAUAUCGCUUGGAACGCCAAAGGUGAAGACAGGUCGCUGGGGGUGUGCCGACGCUGAGACGCGAAAGCCAGGGGAGCAAACGGG
RNAcentral lists this ribosomal RNA (253 nucleotides) under uncultured bacterium. RNAcentral's name for it is "partial 16S ribosomal RNA". It matches the Rfam family "Bacterial small subunit ribosomal RNA", at positions 524 to 776 of the family's 1533-position model. The record is from RNAcentral.